GUACUCACUUCAGCAGCAUAUAUGCUAAAAUUGGAAUGAUACAGAGAAGAUUAGCACAGCCCCUGAGCAAGGAUGACACACAAAUUCAUGCAGCUUUUGCUAUUGUU
Small nuclear RNA from Leopardus geoffroyi (Geoffroy's cat), 107 nucleotides. Lineage: Eukaryota; Metazoa; Chordata; Mammalia; Carnivora; Felidae. The record is from RefSeq and is a predicted model, not a curated record.